This is a long non-coding RNA of Egretta garzetta (little egret), 454 nucleotides long. RefSeq lists it as uncharacterized. The transcript is spliced from 3 exons. NCBI's taxonomy places the organism in Eukaryota, Metazoa, Chordata, Aves, Pelecaniformes, Ardeidae. The record is from RefSeq and is a predicted model, not a curated record.
CCCUACAAAUAGCAGAAGCUACAGGGCAAAAGGAGGUUCUUGACUUCUUUAGACAACAAGUGGCAAAGGAGGGGCAGUAGAAGAUGGUCGCUCCUCUUCAGAAAUACCAGCUUUGAACGUUAAUAGUGUUAAGCAGUUAUGGGAGGAGAAGAGGGAAGGAACAAUGGUAGCUGCGCUUGGAGCAUACAGAAAAGCGAGAGCUUAGACAUAUUCUUUACUUAGGAUCACAUUAAGCUCUUACUGAUUUUCUAAAGAUGAUUUGCUGCUUUAUCUUUCAGUCACUUUUUUUUUUAAAGAAUUUUUUAUAACCAGUGAGGCUGGAAUGUAUUGCCUUUACUAUACAAGCUCUGUUUUUAAAGAGGCCUUUUGAAUCUUCUUAUGUUAAAUGAAUGAGGACAGUAUUGCAGGCAUAGCAAACAGAAACGCUGUGGCGAAUUCAUACCAAGAAAUAACA